CGCCGCACCAGCAGCCGUCCCCCUACCCGCCGCCGCACGCCAUGCCGGGGCGCCGGCGGGUACAAGUCAUCGUCGAUGCAAGCGACGCCCGUGUACAACAGCCCCAACGAGUCCCCCUCGCACCCGUCCUACGGCCGCCACUCCCGGGCCUCCUCCGUCAGCCGCUUCUCCGGCAUCCUCCGCGGCGGCAGCGGGCGCAAGGGCGGCGG
RNAcentral lists this long non-coding RNA (209 nucleotides) under Hordeum vulgare. Its description in RNAcentral is "long non-coding RNA (HVUL_LNC004006)". The record is from RNAcentral. Lineage: Eukaryota; Viridiplantae; Streptophyta; Magnoliopsida; Poales; Poaceae.